CCAAACUUCGGGAGAAGGGGGGCCCGGAACCUGAAGUGACGAGCUCACUAGGGUGAAGGGCCGCAGAGACCAGGGAGAAGCGACUGUUUACUAAAAACACAGGUCCGUGCGAAGUCGCAAGACGAUGUAUACGGACUGACGCCUGCCCGGUGCUGGAAGGUUAAGAGGACCGGUUAGACCGCAAGGUCGAAGCUGAGAAUUUAAGCCCCAGUAAACGGCGGUGGUAACUAUAACCAUCCUAAGGUAGCGAAAUUCCUUGUCGGGUAAGUUCCGACCUGCACGAAUGGCGUAACGACUUCUCCACUGUCUCAACCGCGAACUCGGCGAAAUUGCACUACGAGUAAAGGUGCUCGUUACGCGCAGCAGGACGGAAAGACCCCGGGACCUUUACUAUAGCUUGGUAUUGGUGUUCGGUACGGCUUGUGUAGGAUAGGUGGGAGACUGUGAAGCAUGCACGCCAGCGUGUGUGGAGUCAACGUUGAAAUACCACUCUGGUCGUUCUGGAUAUCUAACCUCGGUCCGUGAUCCGGAUCAGGGACAGUGCCUGGUGGGUAGCUUAACUGGGGCGGUUGCCUCCUAAAAGGUAACGGAGGCGCUCAAAGGUUCCCUCAGCCUGGUUGGCAAUCAGGUUUCGAGUGUAAGUGCACAAGGGAGCUUGACUGCGAGAGAGACAUCUCGAGCAGGGACGAAAGUCGGAACUAGUGACCCGGCGGUGGCUUGUGGAAGCGCCGUCGCUCAACGGAUAAAAGGUACCCCGGGGAUAACAGGCUGAUCUUGCCCAAGAGUCCAUAUCGACGGCAUGGUUUGGCACCUCGAUGUCGGCUCGUCGCAUCCUGGGGGUGGAGUUGCUCCCAAGGGUUGGGCUGUUCGCCCAUUAAAGCGGUUCGCGAGCUGGGUUUAGAACGUCGUGAGACAGUUCGGUCCCUAUCCGCUGUGCGCGUAGGAAACUUAGAAGGGCUGACCCUAGUACGAGAGGACCGGGUUGGACGAACCUCUGGUGUGUCAGUUGUCCUGCCAAGGGCACCGCUGAUUAGCUACGUUCGGAAGUGAUAACCGCUGAAAGCAUCUAAGCGGGAAGCACGCUUCAAGAUGAGGUUUCCAUGCACCAUCAGGUGUGAGAGGCUCCCGGCUAGACUACCGGGUUGAUAGGCCAGACGUGGAAGUGCAGCAAUGCAUGUAGCUGACUGGUACUAAUAAGCCGACAAC
RNAcentral lists this ribosomal RNA (1206 nucleotides) under metagenome. RNAcentral describes it as "bacterial LSU rRNA". It matches the Rfam family "Bacterial large subunit ribosomal RNA", at positions 1729 to 2925 of the family's 2925-position model. The record is from RNAcentral.